RNAcentral lists this long non-coding RNA (226 nucleotides) under Gallus gallus (chicken). The record is from RNAcentral. Lineage: Eukaryota; Metazoa; Chordata; Aves; Galliformes; Phasianidae.
CUGGUGGUGAACUGGUUGACGAUGUCCAGAGCCGUCUGGUUGUACGUGUUCCGGACAUGGGCAUUGAUUCCACUAUCCAGCAGGAGCCGCACCACGUCCGUCUUGCCACACAGGGCCGCCUCAUGCAGUGCUGUGCCUGCCUUGGUUUGCCGGUUGAUGUCGAUGCCAGCUUGCAGCAGGAGCCGGAUGAUGUCGAUGUGUCCAUUCUUGGCUGCCAGGUGCAGAG